UUGAGCACUCGCCGCUGGGUCCUGGCGCAUUGUGCAGUUCAGUCUUGUGGUUGUGGGGAACAGUAUUUGUCCGAGGCCCAUCCUCGCGCGGUGCUCCCGUGCAAGGGCAGGUUCUCUCCUGCGGGCUGCGGUGCUGUGCGGCGGUCGCCAAACUCGUCGUGCUGCGGCGGUCGCCAUCCUCGUCAUGCUGCGGCGGUCGCCAAACUCGUCGUGCCUGCAGUCGGAUUUGGCUCCACGAGUACGACUACGUCUCGCCCCUCAUCCAUCUGCUCCCUGCGGCCAUGUGGAAUCCCCUCCUCUUCCCUCUCCAAAAAAUCUGCGACCGGUCUUCUCACCGUUGAGCACUCGCACAGCGCCGUCGUCCUGCUGCUGCUGUUCCAGGUGAGCUGCCCGUUCGAGCGUCGUGGUUCUGAGUGUUCCAUGUCGUCAAUGCUCUACUCCGUGCUCUGGCCAUGUUAUGUGCAGAUUCUUAGAAAACAGUGA
RNAcentral lists this unclassified non-coding RNA (483 nucleotides) under Zea mays. Its description in RNAcentral is "misc RNA Zm00001eb140140". Lineage: Eukaryota; Viridiplantae; Streptophyta; Magnoliopsida; Poales; Poaceae. The record is from RNAcentral.